This 468-nucleotide ribosomal RNA is filed under the name uncultured bacterium. RNAcentral's name for it is "partial 16S ribosomal RNA". It matches the Rfam family "Bacterial small subunit ribosomal RNA", at positions 28 to 507 of the family's 1533-position model. The record is from RNAcentral.
GACGAACGCUGGCGGCGUGCUUAACACAUGCAAGUCGAACGGAAAGGCCCUGCUUUUGUGGGGUUCUCGAGUGGCGAACGGGUGAGUAACACGUGAGUGACCUGCCCUUGACUUUGGGAUAACUUCAGGAAACUGGGGCUAAUACCGGAUAGGAGCUCCUGCUGCAUGGUGGGGGUUGGAAAGUUUCGGCGGUUGGGGAUGGACUCGCGGCUUAUCAGCUUGUUGGUGGGGUAGUGGCUUACCAAGGCUUUGACGGGUAGCCGGCCUGAGAGGGUGACCGGCCACAUUGGGACUGAGAUACGGCCCAGACUCCUACGGGAGGCAGCAGUGGGGAAUAUUGCACAAUGGGCGGAAGCCUGAUGCAGCAACGCCGCGUGCGGGAUGACGGCCUUCGGGUUGUAAACCGCUUUCGCCUGUGACGAAGCGUGAGUGACGGUAAUGGGUAAAGAAGCACCGGCUAACUACGUG